RNAcentral lists this ribosomal RNA (864 nucleotides) under uncultured bacterium. RNAcentral's name for it is "bacterial SSU rRNA". It matches the Rfam family "Bacterial small subunit ribosomal RNA", at positions 41 to 895 of the family's 1533-position model. The record is from RNAcentral.
UACAGGCUUAACACAUGCAAGUCGAGGGGAAACGAUAUUGGAAGCUUGCUUCCGAUAGGCGUCGACCGGCGCACGGGUGAGUAACGCGUAUCCAACCUGCCCAUCACUUGGGGAUAACCUUGCGAAAGUAAGACUAAUACCCAAUGAUAUCCGUCGAAGACAUCUGAAGUGGAUUAAAGAUUCAUCGGUGAUGGAUGGGGAUGCGUCUGAUUAGCUUGUUGGCGGGGUAACGGCCCACCAAGGCAACGAUCAGUAGGGGUUCUGAGAGGAAGGUCCCCCACAUUGGAACUGAGACACGGUCCAAACUCCUACGGGAGGCAGCAGUGAGGAAUAUUGGUCAAUGGACGAGAGUCUGAACCAGCCAAGUAGCGUGCAGGAUGACGGCCCUAUGGGUUGUAAACUGCUUUUAUAAGGGAAUAAAGUGGGAGUCGUGACUCCUUUUGCAUGUACCUUAUGAAUAAGGACCGGCUAAUUCCGUGCCAGCAGCCGCGGUAAUACGGAAGGUCCGGGCGUUAUCCGGAUUUAUUGGGUUUAAAGGGAGCGUAGGCCGGAGAUUAAGCGUGUUGUGAAAUGUAGAUGCUCAACAUCUGCACUGCAGCGCGAACUGGUUUCCUUGAGUACGCACAAAGUGGGCGGAAUUCGUGGUGUAGCGGUGAAAUGCUUAGAUAUCACGAAGAACUCCGAUUGCGAAGGCAGCUCACUGGAGCGCAACUGACGCUGAAGCUCGAAAGUGCGGGUAUCGAACAGGAUUAGAUACCCUGGUAGUCCGCACGGUAAACGAUGGAUGCCCGCUGUUGGUCUGAAUAGGUCAGCGGCCAAGCGAAAGCAUUAAGCAUCCCACCUGGGGAGUACGCCGGCAACGGU